Cinara cedri is the source of this 227-nucleotide non-coding RNA. The record is from the annotation of a GenBank genome assembly. NCBI's taxonomy places the organism in Eukaryota, Metazoa, Arthropoda, Insecta, Hemiptera, Aphididae.
AUUGUAUUGGAGUAAUUCAGCUAAGUUACACGUUUUCAGUAAAUAGAUAACUCAGUUAAGAUAAAAGCCGCUUUUUAAAUUACCCAUUACUAUACACUCAUAAUCGUAUGUUUUCUAAUAUUUAGAUUUGUAUAGGCUUACUAUGUACAAGACCCGCGUGAGUAUAGCUCUGCUUAUUACUACACAUAGGUUGCAUGCCUGUCUUAAGUAAUAGAUAAUGAUAUUCA